RNAcentral lists this ribosomal RNA (390 nucleotides) under uncultured bacterium. RNAcentral's name for it is "bacterial SSU rRNA". It matches the Rfam family "Bacterial small subunit ribosomal RNA", at positions 30 to 424 of the family's 1533-position model. The record is from RNAcentral.
AUUGAACGCUGGCGGCAUGCCUUACACAUGCAAGUCGAACGGUAACAGGUCUUCGGAUGCUGACGAGUGGCGAACGGGUGAGUAAUACAUCGGAACGUGCCCGAUCGUGGGGGAUAACGCAGCGAAAGCUGUGCUAAUACCGCAUACGAUCUACGGAUGAAAGCGGGGGAUCGCAAGACCUCGCGCGGACGGAGCGGCCGAUGGCAGAUUAGGUAGUUGGUGGGAUAAAAGCUUACCAAGCCGACGAUCUGUAGCUGGUCUGAGAGGACGACCAGCCACACUGGGACUGAGACACGGCCCAGACUCCUACGGGAGGCAGCAGUGGGGAAUUUUGGACAAUGGGCGAAAGCCUGAUCCAGCCAUGCCGCGUGCAGGAUGAAGGCCUCGGUU